Long non-coding RNA from Synchiropus splendidus (mandarinfish), 1380 nucleotides. RefSeq lists it as uncharacterized. The record is from RefSeq and is a predicted model, not a curated record. The transcript has 3 exons. NCBI's taxonomy places the organism in Eukaryota, Metazoa, Chordata, Actinopteri, Syngnathiformes, Callionymidae.
AGAAGUAACAAAUUUGCAGACCUUGUUUGUCUUCUCUAAAAACUUCUACUUCCUGUUUAUGUCAUGUUAGCCAUCUUGGAUUGUGGACUCAGGAAGGGGGAGGACCCCCCGCCCCCAGCUUUGUUGCUAACCACUAGCCGCGGCUAGCAGUCUUUGACUAGCUAUCGUGACUCAAAGCUAAUCACAAGAUAAUCCUGAUCCAUAUCUCGCUGAGAAGCCCGUCAUGCCCAUAGAAGGAACCAUUUUGGAGGAUGAAGUGUGUGUGGACGUCCUCAAACACUUACUCAGCUAACUUGCAUCUCAUUGUCAGGCUGCCAAAGUCCAGCAGACACUAAUGGCCCUCUAACACAUUUAAAAUCAAAUCAGCUGAUGUUGAAAAAGCUUCUCGCUGCCUCUUUGACCCAAUCACAGAUUGUCAUGACGGCAGUGUUCUCUCACUUGGCUCCACUCUCUCACACACACACACACUUGGCCCAGACGAUGUGUGUGUUAGUGAGUGUGUGAGACUGGCUUUAAGGGAUUAAUAAGCUUGUGAUAUAUCCAGCUGCCAAGUGGCUAUAGCUUAAAAUAAAUCUCAGAAUGAUUUCAGAACUGGCAGCAAAUCGAUGCCAAGAAGUUACUUCUGGGGGUAAAAAAAAAAAGCUGCUGUGAAAAGACGUCACUUGUUACGAAAGGGACGCAGGGGAAACAGCCGACGCAGCAUAUUUCACCGCUCAGCAGGGAAACUAUAAAUUCUAAUUUUAAAUCUCAUCGUUGGAGGAGAAGAUGGGAUUCAAUACAAUUAAAGUCUCAGGCAUCGAUUUAAGAGCUUGACCAUGAGCUAACUGCUAAGAAAACAGGUUGUUGCUGAGUGCAAUCACGGCAGGAGAAACACGGCAAUUGCUUUGUGAACAUACCGUUCCCAGCACUGCAGGGUUUUGGAUCUCAGUCGUCAGUUUUGGGUUGAAGAUACUGCUAAAGGUGUAAAUAGCAGAAGCAUUUGCAGUCUUGAAGGGUCCCGGCAGGACAGGAAUCUGGGUUACCAAUCGUCCUUGAACAAGGUGACGUGACAGUCCUGAAAACAAGUCCGGCUAACCUUUACAAUGCUUGGUCCGAUUCUGAAAUGUGGUCACUGGCGAAUGGAGAUGGCACUGUGUAGAGAAAACCAUCAUCACAGAGGUCUCUAAAUGUAUGUGGCUUGGCAAGUCUGCGAUGAGCACGAGCAGCACUGUACCUCACAGCAACCUUUCUGUUCAACCCUGGCCGCUGUGAAGCCAUAAUGAAAUGAGCAAACAUUUUUGGACGGUGCGAAGUCUCACCGGAAGGCUGUUCUUCAAGUAUUUCAAUACACAAAACUGAGUUUAAUCUGCGAUGAAUUGUGUUCGAUUAAUAAACUGAUCU